CCCCCGCUUUCCCCUCUCAUUCUCUCCUUCCAAAGAGGAAAAGGAGACUUUUCAUUGGCCGGAGCCGCAGAACGGCGAAGCCCUGUUGGACGCCAGGGCUUAAAAAGGGAGUGAAGUCAAAGUUUCCACCAAUCCCUUUCUUCUCCUCUUCAGGACGGGAAAGGAAGCAAGAAGGCGUCAGGGUCCGGAUGCCAAGUGUCGCAUGUGGGGAUUGGACAGAAGAGGGAAAAGAAAAGGGAGGAGAUAUGAGAGAUGAUUGGUUGGUCAUCUCCGUCUCAUAGAAACGGGAAGACGGAAGGAGGAGCCGAGCGAGUUUGGCGAAGGCAGGCGCCCGCGUCGUGACGCGCAUGCGUCCGAGGGGCCUUGGGGGUUUAUUUUUCUUCCCUUCAGCCGGCGCCAUUUUGUGCGCUCUUCAGUCACGUCUUAAUCUUGUUUCGUUGGGGUGACCGGAGACGGAGAAGAAGCAGCGGCUGCGGUGCCUUUUCUGAGCAGUUCUGCACAUAGAAACUUGAUACAAUGAGGCACCAGAAAGACUUGUUCACCAAGGUAGUGGCUAAUAGAACUGGAGCACUGACGAUGUACCUUGUAAAAAAGCCCUUGAUGUGAAAUGACAUCCACACAAGAGAAGGAUGUUGUCGUGAAGGAACUGCGAAAUGCAAUUCAAGAGGAAGAGAAUCAGCACAAAACAUAAAAUGAGCAGGAUGUCAAGAGAAUUGCUGCACUCGAAGCAUCGAUGAAGUUAAGGUGGUUGUAAAUACAACUGAGGCAGUGGGCCUUCAUGCUGAGGCAGAAAAGUUGUGCACGAGACAGGCAUGGCUUUCAAUGUGGUAUACUCAUGAAGAAGAAUAAAGCAACUCUUCCCAGGAUUUGGACCAGCCUGAGCUUGUGUUCAUGGCCACAGUCAAGGAUGAAGCGUCAACUACGUUACUCACGAAAAAGUCUGCUUGUAUGAUUGCUCUUCCUCUGUAGUUGUGAUACUCCUGUCCAGAAGAGAAUUGCUGCAGUCUUAAGUGUGCUGAGAGUUGCUUUUGAGAUGGAGCGCUAUCAAGGCUAACACUGAUGCUCUGUGGUAGAAUAAAAUCACGUUUGUUUA
Hemicordylus capensis (graceful crag lizard) is the source of this 1093-nucleotide long non-coding RNA. RefSeq lists it as uncharacterized. The record is from RefSeq and is a predicted model, not a curated record. The transcript has 3 exons. Lineage: Eukaryota; Metazoa; Chordata; Lepidosauria; Squamata; Cordylidae.